This is a non-coding RNA of Triticum aestivum (bread wheat), 116 nucleotides long. The record is from Rfam. NCBI's taxonomy places the organism in Eukaryota, Viridiplantae, Streptophyta, Magnoliopsida, Poales, Poaceae.
UGUGUACUCCCUCCGUCUGAAAAAGCUUGUCCCUCAAAUGGAUGUAUCUAGCACUAACUUGGUGCUAGAUACAUCUAUUUGAAGGACAAGCUUUUUCGGACGGAUGGGAGUAUUAC